This 2911-nucleotide ribosomal RNA is filed under the name Aeromonas hydrophila. Its description in RNAcentral is "23S ribosomal RNA". It matches the Rfam family "Bacterial large subunit ribosomal RNA". The record is from RNAcentral. Lineage: Bacteria; Pseudomonadati; Pseudomonadota; Gammaproteobacteria; Aeromonadales; Aeromonadaceae.
GUUGUAUGGUUAAGUGACUAAGCGUACAUGGUGGAUGCCUUGGCAGUCAGAGGCGAUGAAGGACGUACUAACCUGCGAUAAGCCGUGAGCAGUCGGUAAGAGACAUUACGACUCACGGAUUUCCGAAUGGGGAAACCCACUUAGCAUAAGCUAGGUAUCGCUACGUGAAUACAUAGCGUAGCGAGGCGAACCGGGAGAACUGAAACAUCUAAGUACCCGAGGAAAAGAAAUCAACCGAGAUUCCCUCAGUAGCGGCGAGCGAACGGGGAUUAGCCCUUAAGCAUCUUGGAAGUUAGUGGAACGGUCCUGGAAAGGCCGGCGAUACAGGGUGAUAGCCCCGUACACGAAAACAACCUUGAUGUGAAAUCGAGUAGGGCGGGACACGUGACAUCCUGUCUGAAUAUGGGGGGACCAUCCUCCAAGGCUAAAUACUCCUGACUGACCGAUAGUGAACCAGUACCGUGAGGGAAAGGCGAAAAGAACCCCUGUGAGGGGAGUGAAAUAGAACCUGAAACCGUGUACGUACAAGCAGUGGGAGCCCUUCGGGUGACUGCGUACCUUUUGUAUAAUGGGUCAGCGACUUACAUUUUGUAGCGAGGUUAACCGUAUAGGGGAGCCGUAGGGAAACCGAGUCUUAACUGGGCGUCUAGUUGCAAGGUGUAGACCCGAAACCGGGUGAUCUAGCCAUGGGCAGGUUGAAGGUUGAGUAACAUCAACUGGAGGACCGAACCCACUAACGUUGCAAAGUUAGGGGAUGACCUGUGGCUGGGGGUGAAAGGCCAAUCAAACUCGGAGAUAGCUGGUUCUCCCCGAAAGCUAUUUAGGUAGCGCCUCGGACGAAUACUACUGGGGGUAGAGCACUGUUUGGGCUAGGGGGUCAUCCCGACUUACCAACCCCAUGCAAACUCCGAAUACCAGUAAGUAAUAUCCGGGAGACACACGGCGGGUGCUAACGUCCGUCGUGAAGAGGGAAACAACCCAGACCGCCGGCUAAGGUCCCAAAGUUCUGGUUAAGUGGGAAACGAUGUGGGAAGGCUCAGACAGCUAGGAUGUUGGCUUAGAAGCAGCCAUCAUUUAAAGAAAGCGUAAUAGCUCACUAGUCGAGUCGGCCUGCGCGGAAGAUGUAACGGGGCUCAAACCAGGCACCGAAGCCGCGGAUUCACGCUAAGCGUGAGUGGUAGGGGAGCGUUCUGUAAGUCUGCGAAGGUGUGUCGAGAGGCAUGCUGGAGAUAUCAGAAGUGCGAAUGCUGACGUAAGUAACGAUAAAGGGGGUGAAAAGCCUCCUCGCCGGAAGACCAAGGGUUCCUGUCCAACGUUAAUCGGGGCAGGGUGAGUCGACCCCUAAGGCGAGGCCGAAAGGCGUAGUCGAUGGGAAGCAGGUUAAUAUUCCUGCACGACUUGUAAUUGCGAUGGGGGACGGAGAAGGCUAGGUGGGCCAGGCGACGGUUGUCCUGGUGAAAGUGCGUAGGUGGUGUUUCUAGGCAAAUCCGGAGACACAACACUGAGACACGAGACGAACACACUACGGUGUGGAAGCCAUUGAUGCCCUGCUUCCAGGAAAAGCCUCUAAGCUUCAGAUUACAAGUCAUCGUACCCCAAACCGACACAGGUGGUCGGGUAGAGAAUACCAAGGCGCUUGAGAGAACUCGGGUGAAGGAACUAGGCAAAAUAGAACCGUAACUUCGGGAGAAGGUUCGCUCUUGACAGUGAAGUCCCUUGCGGAUGGAGCAGUUGGGAGUCGCAGUGACCAGAUGGCUGGGACUGUUUAUCAAAAACACAGCACUCUGCAAACACGAAAGUGGACGUAUAGGGUGUGACACCUGCCCGGUGCCGGAAGGUUAAUUGAUGGGGUUAGCGCAAGCGAAGCUCUUGAUCGAAGCCCCGGUAAACGGCGGCCGUAACUAUAACGGUCCUAAGGUAGCGAAAUUCCUUGUCGGGUAAGUUCCGACCUGCACGAAUGGUGUAACCAUGGCCAUGCUGUCUCCACCCGAGACUCAGUGAAAUCGAAUUCGCCGUGAAGAUGCGGUGUACCCGCGGCUAGACGGAAAGACCCCGUGAACCUUUACUACAGCUUGGCACUGAACAUUGAACCUACAUGUGUAGGAUAGGUGGGAGGCUUUGAAGGCGUGACGCCAGUUGCGCUGGAGCCGUCCUUGAAAUACCACCCUUGUAUGUUUGAUGUUCUAACGCAGGCCCGUGAAUCCGGGUCGCGGACAGUGCCUGGUGGGUAGUUUGACUGGGGCGGUCUCCUCCCAAAGAGUAACGGAGGAGCACGAAGGUUGGCUAAUCCUGGUCGGACAUCAGGAGGUUAGUGCAAUGGCAUAAGCCAGCUUAACUGCGAGACGGACAGGUCGAGCAGGUACGAAAGUAGGUCAUAGUGAUCCGGUGGUUCUGAAUGGAAGGGCCAUCGCUCAACGGAUAAAAGGUACUCCGGGGAUAACAGGCUGAUACCGCCCAAGAGUUCAUAUCGACGGCGGUGUUUGGCACCUCGAUGUCGGCUCAUCACAUCCUGGGGCUGAAGUCGGUCCCAAGGGUAUGGCUGUUCGCCAUUUAAAGUGGUACGCGAGCUGGGUUCAGAACGUCGUGAGACAGUUCGGUCCCUAUCUGCCGUGGGCGUUGGAUGAUUGAAGGGAGUUGCUCCUAGUACGAGAGGACCGGAGUGAACGAACCUCUGGUGUUCGGGUUGUCACGCCAGUGGCACUGCCCGGUAGCUAAGUUCGGAAUCGAUAACCGCUGAAAGCAUCUAAGCGGGAAGCGAGCCCUGAGAUGAGUCAUCCCUGACCCUUGAGGGUCCUAAAGGGCCGUUGGAGACCACAACGUUGAUAGGUGGGGUGUGUAAGCGCGGCGACGUGUUGAGCUAACCCAUACUAAUUACCCGUGAGGCUUAACCAUACAACACCCAAGAAGUGUU